GUAAAUGCAAUGAAGAGGAAUAUUAGAUAAGGACCAGCUUCAGAGAACUGUCGGAAGGUGCGAGACAGUGAAAGGAACUUAUUGAACUCACCUUGGAGCUGCUACCCGAAAUUAUAUCAGCAGGAUAUAAGAGUAGACGUAGACGGAAGCCAACCGUUAUAGUGGACAGAAUAUAAUGCAAUAUGCACGUAUUCGGUGAGAGCGCAAUUAUUAAUUGCGAAUAAGAGUGGUAACGCGUGAGAUUAUAUCUUUCGUCUCUUAG
This 262-nucleotide non-coding RNA is filed under the name Eubacterium sp. RNAcentral's name for it is "T-box sequence". It matches the Rfam family "T-box leader". From Rfam's summary of the family: Uncharged tRNA acts as the effector for transcription antitermination of genes in the T-box leader family. T-boxes are found upstream of many aminoacyl-tRNA synthetase genes and some amino acid biosynthetic genes usually in Gram-positive bacteria. The anticodon of a specific tRNA base pairs to a specifier sequence within the T-box motif, and the NCCA acceptor tail of the tRNA base pairs to a conserved bulge in the T-box antiterminator hairpin. The record is from RNAcentral. Lineage: Bacteria; Bacillati; Bacillota; Clostridia; Eubacteriales; Eubacteriaceae.